UGACGGCGUACCUUUUGUAUAAUGGGUCAACGACUUAGUGUGACAAGCGAGCUUAAGCCGGUAGGUGUAGGCGUAGCGAAAGCGAGUCUGAAUAGGGCGUUUAGUUUGUUGCAUUAGACCCGAAACCGAGUGAUCUAGCCAUGAGCAGGUUGAAGGUUGGGUAACACCAAUUGGAGGACCGAACCCGUAUCUGUUGCAAUAGAUUGGGAUGACUUGUGGCUAGGGGUGAAAGGCCAAUCAAACUCGGAGAUAGCUGGUUCUCCGCGAAAUCUAUUUAGGUAGAGCGUUAACUGAAUACCCUCGGGGGUAGAGCACUGGAUAGGCUAUGGGGGCUUACCGCCUUACUGCUCCUAACCAAACUCCGAAUACCGAGGAGUACUAGUUGGCAGACACACAGUGGGUGCUAACGUCCAUUGUGGAGAGGGCAACAACCCUGACCUCCAUCUAAGGUCCCGAAGUCAUGGCUAAGUGGGAAAGGAUGUGAAGAUCCCAAAACAACCAGGAUGUUGGCUUAGAAGCAGCCAUCAUUUAAAGAAAGCGUAACAGCUCACUGGUCUAGAUAAGGAUUUUUGCGCCGAAAAUGUAACGGGGCUAAAGCCAUGCACCGAAGAUGAGGAUUUGUUUAUUUUUAAACGAGUGGUAGCGGAGCGUUCCGUAAGCUGAUGAAGGAGGACUUGUGAGA
Molecule: ribosomal RNA, 682 nt
Filed under: Candidatus Liberibacter asiaticus
Lineage: Bacteria; Pseudomonadati; Pseudomonadota; Alphaproteobacteria; Hyphomicrobiales; Rhizobiaceae
Description: bacterial LSU rRNA
Rfam family: Bacterial large subunit ribosomal RNA
Source: RNAcentral